This 468-nucleotide ribosomal RNA is filed under the name uncultured bacterium. Its description in RNAcentral is "partial 16S ribosomal RNA". It matches the Rfam family "Bacterial small subunit ribosomal RNA", at positions 28 to 507 of the family's 1533-position model. The record is from RNAcentral.
GACGAACGCUGGCGGCGUGCUUAACACAUGCAAGUCGAACGGAAAGGCCCUGCUUUUGUGGGGUGCUCGAGUGGCGAACGGGUGAGUAACACGUGAGUAACCUGCCCUUGACUUUGGGAUAACUUCAGGAAACUGGGGCUAAUACCGGAUAGGAGCUCCUGCUGCAUGGUGGGGGUUGGAAAGUUUCGGCGGUUGGGGAUGGACUCGCGGCUUAUCAGCUUGUUGGUGGGGUAGUGGCUUACCAAGGCUUUGACGGGUAGCCGGCCUGAGAGGGUGACCGGCCACAUUGGGACUGAGAUACGGCCCAGUCUCCUACGGGAGGCAGCAGUGGGGCAUAUUGCACAAUGGGCGGAAGCCUGAUGCAGCACCGCCGCGUGCGGGAUGACGGCCUUCGGGUUGUAAACCGCUUUCGCCUGUGACGAAGCGUGAGUGACGGUAAUGGGUAAAGAAGCACCGGCUAACUACGUG